This 465-nucleotide ribosomal RNA is filed under the name Vreelandella stevensii. RNAcentral describes it as "partial 16S ribosomal RNA". It matches the Rfam family "Bacterial small subunit ribosomal RNA", at positions 338 to 795 of the family's 1533-position model. Lineage: Bacteria; Pseudomonadati; Pseudomonadota; Gammaproteobacteria; Oceanospirillales; Halomonadaceae. The record is from RNAcentral.
CCUACGGGGGGCUGCAGUGGGGAAUAUUGGACAAUGGGGGGAACCCUGAUCCAGCCAUGCCGCGUGUGUGAAGAAGGCCCUCGGGUUGUAAAGCACUUUCAGUGAGGAAGAACGCCUGGUGGUUAAUACCCAUCAGGAAAGACAUCACUCACAGAAGAAGCACCGGCUAACUCCGUGCCAGCAGCCGCGGUAAUACGGAGGGUGCGAGCGUUAAUCGGAAUUACUGGGCGUAAAGCGCGCGUAGGUGGCUUGAUAAGCCGGUUGUGAAAGCCCCGGGCUCAACCUGGGAACGGCAUCCGGAACUGUCAAGCUAGAGUGCAGGAGAGGAAGGUAGAAUUCCCGGUGUAGCGGUGAAAUGCGUAGAGAUCGGGAGGAAUACCAGUGGCGAAGGCGGCCUUCUGGACUGAAACUGACACUGAGGUGCGAAAGCGUGGGUAGCAAACAGGAUUAGAUACCCGAGUAGUC